Oncorhynchus tshawytscha (Chinook salmon) is the source of this 684-nucleotide long non-coding RNA. NCBI's taxonomy places the organism in Eukaryota, Metazoa, Chordata, Actinopteri, Salmoniformes, Salmonidae. The record is from Ensembl.
CUCCUCUCUAAUACAGCUGUACUAGACUUGUUCUCCCUCCUCCUCUCUAAUGUAGCUCUACUAGACUGGUUGUCCCUCCUCCUCUAUUAUGUUGCUAUACUAGACUGGUUCUCCCUCCUCCCUCCUCUCUAAUGUAGCUCUACUAGACUGGUUCUCCCUGCUCCUCUUUAAUUUAGCUAUGGUAGACUGGUUCUCCCUCCUCCUCCUCCUCUCUAAUGUAGCUGUACUAGACUGGUUAUCUCUCCUCCUCCUCUCUAAUGUAGCUGUACUGGAUCGGUUCUCCCUCCUCCUCUCUAAUGUGUCUAUAAUAGACUGGUUCUCGCUCGUCCUCCUCUUUAAUGUAGCUGUACUAUACAGGUUCUCCCUCCUCCUCUCUAAUGUAUCUAUACUAGACUGGUUUUCCCUCCUCCUCUCUAAUGUAGCUAUAGUAGACUGGUUCUCCCUCCUCCUCUCUUAUGUUGCUAUACUAGACUUGUUCUCCCUCCUCCUCUCUAAUGUAUCUAUACUAGACUGGUUUUCCCUCCUCCUCCUCUAUUAUGUAGCUGUACUAGACUGGUUCUCCCUCCUCCUCCUCUCUAAUGUAGCUGUACUAGACUGGUUCUCCCUACUCCUCCUCUCUAAUGUAGCUAUACUAGACUGGUUCUCCCUCCUCCUCCUCUCUAAUGUAGCUAUACUAUACUGGUU